RNAcentral lists this long non-coding RNA (863 nucleotides) under Macaca mulatta (Rhesus monkey). RNAcentral describes it as "lncRNA (ENSMMUG00000042423.2)". The record is from RNAcentral. Lineage: Eukaryota; Metazoa; Chordata; Mammalia; Primates; Cercopithecidae.
GAAAUAUUGUGAAGAACAUGGGAUUGUUAAGGAAAACAUAUUUGACUUGACUAAAGUUGGUAAGUUGGGGUUUCCGGCGUUCUCUUCCUAAAUUCCCAUGUUACAGAAGGGAGUAAUCCAGGGGAAGUAAUACCUUCCAAAUCAGUUCCCUUUGUGCUAACUUGGAGAAUCAUCUGGUUUCUCUCUGAAAAAUAAACUGGUGUCGGUAUCUGAAUUUGUUUUAUUUUCCCUCAACAGAUCGCUGUCUCCAGGCCCGAGAUGGGGGAGCAGCCUAGGACUCCAGGGCUGAGUGAAUACUUCCUCACCUGGACUCCAUCUUCCCUUCCUGGUCCCCAUGUCCUCUUGUGACAAGUUCUGUGACCUGAUUUCCAUCAUAUCACACAUGAAGACAUCAUCCCUGCAUCUUUAGGAUCUUCCCUAACUGCCUAUGAAGACUCAGAAAUUCACCAAGAAUCAAAGGUUUUCUCUGAAUUUCUGACUGUCCUUGUCACACAGCCAGGGGAACUCUACGUGAAUAACACCUGACUCUACAUGAUCAAUAAAUCAUUAACCUUGCAGUCAUGUAAUUUGUCCUUGUAUCUGUGAGGAUGUGAGGCUGACAGGGAGCGAAUGAAGGGGCUUCCUUGCCCCUGAACCCGUAAUCUUCCUCUAGUGUCUCAGAAUCUUCUCUGAGCUUCAGGAUUCUCCUUCCUCUGCAGUAAUUCCCUGUUAGGUUAUCCCAAGUCCCCAUGAGUGCUGCUUACCCUUUGAUUUGCCAAUCUCUUAGUGAUCUGAUAAGAGCAUUAUAAAUAAUAUAAGAAUAUAAGACUUGCCCCAUGAUUUCUGCAUCCUAGAAUUCUCUUUUCAGUUGGGGACACUGACAG